This 79-nucleotide ribosomal RNA is filed under the name Weissella cibaria. RNAcentral describes it as "partial 16S ribosomal RNA". It matches the Rfam family "Bacterial small subunit ribosomal RNA", at positions 1 to 79 of the family's 1533-position model. Lineage: Bacteria; Bacillati; Bacillota; Bacilli; Lactobacillales; Lactobacillaceae. The record is from RNAcentral.
CAAAUUGAGAGUUUGAUCCUGGCUCAGGAUGAACGCUGGCGGCGUGCCUAAUACAUGCAAGUCGAACGCUUUGUGGUUC